AUAUGAGUUUUCUCAGAAUGUUUCUCAGCUUGUUGUGACUCUGGUUUCACUGUUUCCUUGGCUGGUACACUUAUACCAGUUCGCUCUGAAGGUUUCUCAGCUUGUGAUUCUAGUUUCACUGUUUCCUUGGCUGGUUGACUUAUACCAGUUCGUUCUGAAGGUUUCUCAGCUUGUGAUUCUAGUUUCACUGUUUCCUUGGCUGGUUCACUUAUACCAGUUCUUUCUGAAGGUUUCUCGGUUUGUGAUCCUAGUUUCAUUGUCUCCUUUGCUGAUUCACUUAUACCAGAACGCUCUGAAGGUUUCUCAGCUUGUGAUCCUAGUUUCACUGUCUCCUUUGCUGAUUCACUUAUACUAGUUCCCUUUGAAGGUUGCUCCGCUUCUGAUUCUAAUUUCACUGUUUUCUUGGGUGGUUCACUUAUACUAGUUACCUCUGAAGGUUUCUCCGCUUCUGAUUUUAGUUUCACUGUUUCCUUGGCCGGUACACUUAUAAUAGUUACCUCUGAAG
Molecule: long non-coding RNA, 505 nt
Filed under: Phaseolus vulgaris (common bean)
Lineage: Eukaryota; Viridiplantae; Streptophyta; Magnoliopsida; Fabales; Fabaceae
Description: long non-coding RNA (PVUL_LNC004695)
Source: RNAcentral